Long non-coding RNA from Cavia porcellus (domestic guinea pig), 1858 nucleotides. RefSeq lists it as uncharacterized. NCBI's taxonomy places the organism in Eukaryota, Metazoa, Chordata, Mammalia, Rodentia, Caviidae. The transcript is spliced from 4 exons. The record is from RefSeq and is a predicted model, not a curated record.
CCUCCUGCAGUCUCCACUUUCCUGCCUCCCUCGCUGGGCAAGGCUCAGGGUCCAAGCUGAUGGCCUCCCGAUGCCCAGCGUGCCGCUACUUACUUUUGACAGUCCCGCUCCUCGCCCAGAAGAGUGAACUGAGGCUCAGAGAGGGCUGUCUGGGUGACAUUCCCCAACCUCAUCCUGCCCAGCACUUCCAGGACCCCUAGGAAGCUCUGUGCUGUGGCUCUGGGAAGGCAGACCUGACUCCAGCCGUCCACAGGACAUGUGCACCCCCGCAGGGUGUCUCUCACAGGACAACUGUGCCUGGAAUCCUGACCUUACCCACCCACAGCUCCUGCAGCAGCAGAGGCCAGAGCCUCAGACACAGACAGAACAAGCAUCAGCGGCUGGCUCUGCCUCUCAGGAGCCCUGUGAAUGUGGAUGAAUCCCUGACCCCAGCAUUCUCUGCAAAAUGGAGCUGCCUUCUCUGGGACAUCUCUGCUCUGUGCCGCGGACAGACUGAACCUUUGACCUUGCCCUGCAGCACGGCUCCUCCUCCAGAUUUUCCCCACCCACUGCUGUGCCCAUCCCACAGACAGGGUACACCUGUCUGUCCAUUCCUACCUCCAGAAACCUGGCUCCUCCUACCCUCCACUUCCACUCCCACUCCCAAACUCAUCCUGCCCCCGCCCAGAUGAGCUCCACCCGUGACCACUACAUUUUGUCUGGCUUUGGCUGGCAUCUGAAUCACAUCAGCUCUCUCCACUGGUGGGAAAAGCUUUUUAAAUCUCAGAUUGCUGGGCUUCACCUCAGAGGUUCCGAUUCGGUAGAUCUGAGUGUCGCCUGAGAAUGCACAUUUCUGACAAGUUCUCAGCCACACUGUCACUGCUGGUCUCGGGUCCACACGUCAGUGGUCCCUGAGCUAAACAUCUGUAAUAGUCUCCUAGUCCAGAAGACCUUUUCAGACUUCACUUGGGCCGUGUAAUUCCCUGCAGUUAGAUGUCUAAAAGUUUUCUUGGCUCUUCACUGCACUAGGAGAAAGGCUGUCUCCAUCCGCAGUACCUGUGGAUGCUGCACAAAGCUCUUUCUCCUUCUCUUCUUGUUCUUCUUUUUCCUCUCUUCCUUCUCCUCCUCCUUCUUAAUCUCCUCCUUCUCCUGCUUCUUUUUCUUCCUUUUCUUAGACAGGGUCUCACUAUAUAGUUUAGGUUCUAUUCAUUAUACAAGUCAGGCUGGCCUCCAACUCAUGGAAAUCCUCCUGCCUCAGUCUCCUGACUGCUGGGAUUAUAGGAUGCACCACCACAUCCAGGUACAAAGCUCCUUUGGAAUUCAUGCCAGCAGACUAAAACUCUACCACACCUCCUGGCUGAUGUCAUCUGCCCGCGCUCUGGUCACUUCUGUUUCUUAAGUACUUGAGUAUCUUGCUUCUCAUUUUCACUAAAUGAUUAUUUAAUUAUUUGGGCAGUGAUGGGUUUAAUACUUGUGCGUCUGCUUCCUUGACCUUCCCUCACAUAGUCUUUAGUCCUCUACUCUGCAUGACUUGAUCAUGUCAUCACCUCUGUUGAGGUUUAAGUAUGAAACGUCCCCCAAAGACUCAGUAAUGAGCAAUUUAUCCCCAACACAGCAAUGCUCAGAGGUGAGGCCUAGAGAGACGAUGGAUCAUGCAGGUUCUAAUCCACUGAUGAGUUAACUGGCCGAAUGGGCCAUGAGGAGGCAAGUCCCAGUUGUAGGAAGGGAGUCACUGAGACGUCCUCUGAAGGGCCCGUCUUGUUCCCCAUCCUCUCUUCUGGGGCUUGCUUCCUGCCUACCAUAAGGUGGGCAGCUUUCUCCAGACCCUUCUGCUAUGAUGCCCUUGACUGAAAUCUCUGAAACAGUGAACCAAAAUAAA